This 253-nucleotide ribosomal RNA is filed under the name uncultured bacterium. RNAcentral's name for it is "partial 16S ribosomal RNA". It matches the Rfam family "Bacterial small subunit ribosomal RNA", at positions 524 to 776 of the family's 1533-position model. The record is from RNAcentral.
UACGUAGGGUCCGAGCGUUGUCCGGAAUUAUUGGGCGUAAAGAGCUCGUAGGCGGUUUGUUGCGUCGGCCGUGAAAACCUGCAGCUUAACUGUGGGCCUGCGGCCGAUACGGGCAGACUUGAGUUCGGUAGGGGAGACUGGAAUUCCUGGUGUAGCGGUGAAAUGCGCAGAUAUCAGGAGGAACACCGGUGGCGAAGGCGGGUCUCUGGGCCGAUACUGACGCUGAGGAGCGAAAGCGUGGGGAGCAAACAGG